AAAAUGGCAGCAAGCAUUUAAAUCACAAGCAGUGAGCCCAAAUUUUGAUCCACGUGGGUGAUUUGUGUCAUAAGUAAGGCUUAAGAGACUCCAAGCUAUCCCGGCAGCCAGACUAACAGGGCCUGCCUUCCCUCCCCUGAUUCCUAAUUAAAAUGCCCUGAAAAUCCACAAACACACAAAAACUGGCAACAGCAAUUUAUCCGAGUGAAAUCCAGAGGCCAAAUCUGCAGACUAUCAAGUAAGCACACUGUCUGGAGGUGCGCCCGCUGGUGAAAGAACCCACUUCAUAAGGUUGUGAGGACGGAAGAAGUACUGGAUGGAAGCUCCAUAGAGGCGGGGAUGUGGCUUCUUCAGUAUCCCCACAGUUCAACGCCAAGUGCCUAGAAUGUUGUGUGACACAUUGAGGAGGUAUGGACGAAGAAGGUCACCUGUUCCAUCAGCAAACAAAGGAUGUUGGGGGCCAUCAAGCCAUCAACCACUGUAGCUGCCCUGACUGUGCGACCUGAGGGGAUUCAGGAUGGAGAAAAACAAGAUACUGGCCCUAGAUAGAGAAUCCUAGAAAUCAUGGACUCAAACACAAAGCAAAAGAAGCUAGGAUUGCAUUUAUGGUUGGAAUGUGGAAAGCUCAGAGACCACCCUCCUCACUUGUAAUAAGAACAAGCAGGAUAAACCAGAAAGUCAUAGUUUCUUUCUUUUUUUAAUUCCAUCCGAGAGCUGAGGGAUCAAAGAAACUUAAACAAACUAAAUUCCAGGAAGUGAUGAGCCCUUCCAAGCAGAGAAGCACCACUGUCUGCUUUCAUUCAUGGUGCAUACUGGGUUGAGGAGGAAUCAGCCUGACUUCUAACAAACUUGCAGGGGCUGUGUGUGGGCUGCUGUGAGAGAUUCGAAUCCCAAGGAGCCCAGAUGCAGAGCACUUACUCUCUACCACUUACCACCUGCAUCCUCGGGACCUUCACUGAGUGACUGAAGCAAAUGAGGAGCCCAGAUGCAGAGCACUUACUCUCUACCACUUACCACCUGCAUCCUCGGGACCUUCACUGAGUGACUGAAGCAAAUGAGGUGCCCAGAUGCAGAGCACUUACUCUCUACCACUUACCACCUGCAUCCUCGGGACCUUCACUGAGUGACUGAAGCAAAUGAGGUGCCCAGAUGCAGAGCACUUACUCUCUACCACUUACCACCUGCAUCCUCGGGACCUUCACUGAGUGACUGAAGCAAAUGAGGUGAAAGCUGGCGGCAGGGGGCAGGAGAGCUGAGAGAACUCUUUCUGAGGCCCCCGGGCUUC
Long non-coding RNA from Bubalus bubalis (water buffalo), 1285 nucleotides. RefSeq lists it as uncharacterized. The record is from RefSeq and is a predicted model, not a curated record. Lineage: Eukaryota; Metazoa; Chordata; Mammalia; Artiodactyla; Bovidae. The transcript is spliced from 4 exons.